RNAcentral lists this ribosomal RNA (507 nucleotides) under uncultured Glomeromycotina. Its description in RNAcentral is "partial small subunit ribosomal RNA". It matches the Rfam family "Eukaryotic small subunit ribosomal RNA", at positions 591 to 1092 of the family's 1831-position model. Lineage: Eukaryota; Fungi; Glomeromycota. The record is from RNAcentral.
CCAAUAGCGUAUAUUAAAGUUGUUGCAGUUAAAAAGCUCGUAGUUGAAUUUCGGGAUUGACGUGAUGGUCAUGCCUUAAGGGGUAUGAACUGUUGCUGUUGAUUUCUCACCUUCUGGAGAAACUUGAUGUCCUUUAUUGGGUGUCUUGCGGAUCCAGGACCUUUACCUUGAAAAAAUUAGAGUGUUUAAAGCAGGCAUUUUUGCUCGAAUACAUUAGCCUGGAAUAAUAGAAUAGGACGGCAUGGUUCUAUUUUGUUGGUUUCUAGGAUCACCGUAAUGAUUAAUAGGGAUAGUUGGGGGCAUUAGUAUUCAAUUGUCAGAGGUGAAAUUCUUGGAUUUAUUGAAGACUAACUACUGCGAAAGCAUUUGCCAAGGAUGUUUUCAUUAAUCAAGAACGAAAGUUAGGGGAUCGAAGACGAUCAGAUACCGUCGUAGUCUUAACCAUAAACUAUGCCGACUAGGAAUCAGACGAUGUUAAUUUUUUAAUGACUCGUUUGGCACCUUACG